Molecule: long non-coding RNA, 1846 nt
Filed under: Homo sapiens (human)
Lineage: Eukaryota; Metazoa; Chordata; Mammalia; Primates; Hominidae
Description: HSALNT0375704
Source: RNAcentral
AAAGAAGGUGACUGAGCCAGGAGGAGAGCACAGAUGGCUUGGUGGUGGUAUGGUGUGGUCCUCCUUCCCCUUCCCUCUUAGGCAUGGGGAGUGGAGCAACAGACGGAGAGUGGCAUGAAGACACAAAGGAGGAAGCACACCAUUGCCAAGACCCCAAGGAAGAAGGAUGGAAAGCGCUGGCAGUCCUGCCUGGCCCCCAGCCAGUUCCCUGCUGAAGAUGGCCAGAUCCCCUUGUCUGGUGUGCCUGCACAGGAGACAGCACCAGCCAAGCUGAUUGUGUAUCUACAGCGUUUCCGGCCUCAAGACUAUCAGCGCCUGCUAGAAGUGAACAGCUCCAGAGAGAGGCCACAGGAGACUGAAGAUCCUGACCACUGCCUGGGCUAGGGGUGUCACUUCCUAGAAGGGGAAGGGAACUCUGGGUCUAACGGAGUCCACUCCUGGGCCCACUGUGCCUCUCCCCUCAGUGUCCCUUCUGACAGUGACUCCUCUCUCUCCAGCGCUGCCUGUUUCUUCCCCCUCCUCUAAGCUACUCUUCCUUGAGCCCUCCCUGGCUGCUUCCUCUCGCUCAUCCGUCAGAUGCAAUCUGUGGGCCGCCCCUCUCCCCUGGCCGCUAAGCAGCCUCCAUUGAUUUCCGCUCGUGUUUAUAGGAUUUCCACUUAGCCGUGAUCAGUAGUUAAGCACAGGAAAAUCCCUUGCCACCCCCCCUCCCUUGGUCGAUGCCAUUGAUUCUGCCAGCGGCUCCUAAACCGCCUUACAGCUGAGUUAGAAGAUGAGGAGAGGCAGCAGGGAUUUCCCUGCCUUGGGAUGUGGGAAACAGAAGAAAAGUUGAGGAAAUGGUUGGGAAUCGCUGUUAGAACUCUAGAAAUUCUAAUCUGACUUUGCCACUGUGCCCAGCUCUGGCCCAGAGGGUAGAGUGCCUCCUGUGGAAGUUUAGGGGCAAAUUUGUUCCCUGACCUGGAGAGGGUUAGAAAGAACCAACAGCUGCCCCCUCCCCGCCCCCGUGUUGAGACAGGUUCUCAAGGCUCAGGGGAAGAUGCAUACCUCCUAUGUAAGAAUGCUCUUCCCUUGCUGUUAUUCAUACACACUUUCCACUUCAAAUAUACCCAAAUAUGGCUUUCCUCACUUCUCAGGCUUUAUUGGGCUUUAUUUGUGGGAGAAGGGGGCUGGUCCCCAGUUUUUGCAGUGCAAAGCCAGAGCGCCACCUGCUGGUAGCCCUCAGGUGUAGGUUCGAAGCUGCUGGGGCCCCCUGGGGUUUGGGACACAGGAGAAUUUCAGGCUGUGAGUGGAGACAGUUACUGCCACGAUUCCACAGGCAAGUUGUUCACCUCAAAGAUCUCCUGCACCGACUGGUGAAAGUGGUCGUAGGUGAGGCGCAGCUUUAGCCGCAGGGGGGCCUAGGAAUAGGAGAGCAGGGACCAGGGUUAGCACCCACGGCUUCUUCUAUCCCUGGGUCUUGUCUUGGGGGAACUCCUGAAGCUCACCUUGUUAGGAUUGAGGAUUCUGAAGAGCUGGGUGAUAGGAAGGCCACCCCGAGCUGGAACUGUGUUCCCACUGGGGGCCUGCAGCUGCAGCUGGAGACUCUGAACACAGGAGUUUAACAGAGCACAGUAUGGCAGUAGGUAGGGCUCAGGCAGCCCCUCUAUACUCAGUGGCUCCACACCCUUUUCCUGUAACUCCCCAAGUGCUGAUCUCCAGAUGACUCAAUCCCAUCUCACACUGUCUCCCACCCACCUCCUCCACUUAGUGGCCUUUUCUCCUGGAGUCCCCAGGCCACCUCUGAACUCUGAUCUUUACAAACCUUGGGCACAGCAGCCUGGCAGAUGAAAUGGGUGACAUCACCCUCUGA